UCAGUAUGUGACAUACGGCAUGGGCGA
Molecule: non-coding RNA, 27 nt
Filed under: Bombyx mori (domestic silkworm)
Lineage: Eukaryota; Metazoa; Arthropoda; Insecta; Lepidoptera; Bombycidae
Source: RNAcentral